UCUGGGGUGAGCAAAACGGUAGGAAGCGCGUUCAUCUGGUUAACUGGAAUCAAGUUUCCCUUCCUGUUGAUCGUGGGGGACUUGGGAUUCGGAGGUGUAGGGAGAUGAAUACGGCUUUUCUGGCUAAGUUGGCCUGGAGAUUACUUCACGAGAAUAGUGGGCUAUGGGCAAAAGUCCUACGCAGUAAAUAUUGUGAUGGUGUUGUUGGUCUGGACGUUUUUGUUGCUAAGUCGGAUGCUUCCAUUGUUUGGAAAGGUAUUAUUCAUGGUGCUCCCCUCUUAAGGCGGGGGGUGUAUGUAUUUCUG
RNAcentral lists this unclassified non-coding RNA (305 nucleotides) under Hevea brasiliensis (rubber tree). The record is from RNAcentral. Lineage: Eukaryota; Viridiplantae; Streptophyta; Magnoliopsida; Malpighiales; Euphorbiaceae.